AGUAACCUGCCUCUAAGAGAGGAAUAACAUUCUGAAAAGAAUGCUAAUACCGCAUAACAUAUAUUUAUCGCAUGGUAGAUAUAUCAAAGAUUUAUCGCUUAGAGAUGGACUCGCGUCCGAUUAGUUAGUUGGUGAGGUAACGGCUCACCAAGACUGCGAUCGGUAGCCGGACUGAGAGGUUGAACGGCCACAUUGGGACUGAGACACGGCCCAG
This 214-nucleotide ribosomal RNA is filed under the name uncultured bacterium. RNAcentral describes it as "partial 16S ribosomal RNA". It matches the Rfam family "Bacterial small subunit ribosomal RNA", at positions 120 to 334 of the family's 1533-position model. The record is from RNAcentral.